CUGCAUUACAACAACUAGGAAAACUCGAAUGGAACGUUAAUGAAGAUCCCCAACACAUUUCCUCCCUUCCUUCCUGGUUUUCAUCCCCUCCAGGGGGUAGAGUAUUUGCUAACAUCACAUGCUUUAUAAAUUUUUCCAAUCACUAGCAUUGCAAUUGAGGGAAUUUUCGACUAAAGUGCUGCAUCUUUACUCUCAUCCCCAAAUGGAUUUCUGCAGCCAUUACACAUUUGUUUUUCUUUAAGAAAAACAAGUGGAGAUCCCAAUGGAAAAUGGUCUUUGAUAAAUAAGAGCUCCUUCAGGUGGUUUUACCCAACCAUUUGAAAUCACAGUUGCCAUAAAUGAUCUCUCAUAUUUCCGCAAGGCAAUUCUGUUAGCAGGAUUGCUCCCAGGGGGCUCUUUUACAAUUCUACAUGUUUCAUUCAUGGGAAAAACUAGCAAUAUUCACCUUAUGCCAUUGAAGCAGAAGAUUCCAGGGAUAAACUAGGAAUGCUUAGAAACCCUAGGAAGAAUAUUGGUGAUCUGGAAUGUCUGAUCACCAUGGCUUUGGAUUCUGUUUUGUUUUUCUAUUCAAGUGCCUGUCAAAAACUCCAUUUAUGUUUUCUUUGCUACUUAAAAAGAUCUUGCUUAGAGACCUCUGACACAAGAAGUCAAAUUCAAGAGGAGACCACCUGAAAUCUGAACCUGUCAUCUGUAAAAGGACCUUCCAGAUCCAACGGAUGUCUCAUUCAAUCAACUUCACUAGGAGAAAAAAAAUGGUUUUCUUAUUCUCGUGGCCUUUGAUUUUUCCUCAGAGUUUCUGCUAGUUAGUUGGAAACCAGGUAAGUGACUGACUAUCCCAUGGAUUUUUGUGUGCUAAUGAAGUUGGUCUUUACUGUUGACCAACCCUUGUUUCAUAAUGUGUUGUGCUGGCUCAUGC
Molecule: long non-coding RNA, 916 nt
Filed under: Monodelphis domestica (gray short-tailed opossum)
Lineage: Eukaryota; Metazoa; Chordata; Mammalia; Didelphimorphia; Didelphidae
Description: lncRNA (ENSMODG00000045290.1)
Source: RNAcentral